AGAAUCAACGCUGGCGGCGUGCCUCAGACAUGCAAGUCGAACGCGAAAGUCCCCUUCGGGGGACAAGUAGAGUGGCGCACGGGUGAGUAACACGUAGGUAAUCUACCUUCGGGUGGGGAAUAACAAUCGGAAACGGUUGCUAAUACCGCAUAAUGCAGCGGCACCUAAUGGUGACAGUUGUUAAAGCGGGGGAUCGCAAGAUCUCGCGCCUGAAGAGGAGCCUGCGGCGGAUUAGCUAGUUGGUAGGGUAAUGGCCUACCAAGGCGACGAUCCGUA
RNAcentral lists this ribosomal RNA (276 nucleotides) under uncultured soil bacterium. RNAcentral's name for it is "partial 16S ribosomal RNA". It matches the Rfam family "Bacterial small subunit ribosomal RNA", at positions 26 to 285 of the family's 1533-position model. The record is from RNAcentral.